GUAAAAUGCGAGUUGAUAAUAUUUGAGGAUUGGCUUAAUUUUGAAUUAUAUUGUGUUGGAUUAAGUAGACCAUGAGGUAGAUAACUAGCUAAAUAAUAUUCUAGGUAGAUAAGCUAGUUAACUGAAAAACUAGGUAACUGACUAUCAGGCUGAGGAAAUAACUAACUAGAUAGUGGGCUGGGUAACUUGGGAACUAAAUAGCAGGCUGAGUAAAUAGCUAACUAAAUAGCAGGCUGGGUAAAUAGCUAACUAAAUAGCAGGCUGGGUAGCUAGCUAACUAAAUAGCAGGCUGAGUAAAUAGCUAACUAAAUAGCAGGCUGGGUAGCUAGCUAACUAAAUAGCAGGCUGGGUAGCUAGCUAACUAAAUAGCAGGCUGAGUAAAUAGCUAACUAAAUAGCAGGCUGGGUAAAUAGCUAACUAAAUAGCAGGCUGGGUAGCUAGGUAACUAAAUAGCAGGCGGAGUAAAUAGCUAACUAAAUAGCAGGCUGGGUAGCUAACUAAAUAGCUAGCUAACUAAAUAGCAG
Long non-coding RNA from Ictalurus punctatus (channel catfish), 524 nucleotides. NCBI's taxonomy places the organism in Eukaryota, Metazoa, Chordata, Actinopteri, Siluriformes, Ictaluridae. The record is from Ensembl.